AAGCCAAAUACAACACUUAUUCCAAGCUCGAAUUUAGAACCUUGAACAAGAGAUUCUGGGUUCUUGUCCCAAGCAGAGUCCUCAGAGCUGUCACACCUCCUUUUUCCUACACCUUGAAAGGUAUAUGGCAGUUUUUCCAAUUUAAGUGACAAUCGAAAUAGAAUAAUUUCAUUUAAAAUUAAGAGUCGCCACUUGGGAUAAUUUAUAUUUUCCCAAGUUACCGGUUCAAAUUCCGAAUCAAGGAAAAGAUUCACUCUGUAUUACAGUCCGCAAACAGAAAAAUCUGGGUAAGGAAUUUUGUCAAGCCGAGAGAAGGUGUAAGAGCAUUCUCGAAUUCCGUGGCUCUAGUACGGUCUCUCAACUGUUAUAAUUGACCUAUUAUCUUAUUUUUAUACAUGUUUUAGCCUAUGGUUGGAUUUUAAACUUUAUAUCCACUUUUAAUUAUUUUUAGAAAGAUUGCAACAUCAUUUAAAAUAUGUCAUGAACCACGUCACAAAAUGCACCCACGGUCCGCAACAUAUUUUAUCUGACAUUGUUGAGAUUUGAACUUGGGUCACAUAAAUGUGCACCUAAGCUUAGGAAUGUAAAUCAUUAAUAACACACCUAAAACAACUACGCAUUAGAUACUUUACAAGGGCUAUGAAAAUUCGCUAAUUAGCACUCCUCGAUUCCUAGGAAUACACAAGAUUAAUUAAACGAGGGCCAUGCAAUUUAUUUUUUUUGGCACGGCACACCUCAAAUUAUUCUAACCAAGUUUCAAGAUUAAUUCAUGAGGGCCAUAUAUUGUGACUUAUUUACUUUAUCUCCUCAAACUAACUAAAAGUGAUUACCCAUUAACUAAGGCCUAAUGAAAUCGUAACCAUUUUGUUUAUUAGGAAAAAUCUAAGUUAAUUUGAGUAAGCAAACAUCAACAGGCCAAAACAUAUGAUAUUCCAAUUUUUAUACAUCGCUUCAUAGCUAGUCCCAUAAAGAAAAUCCAGGCCUCAAUGAAAUCAACCUAUGCUAGGGUCGCAGAUCGAAUCAACACAGGCUCGGCCAGUGCUGAGUUAAGGCCAAUCUUCAACAAAACAGAUUCUUAUACCUAGGUGGAUCAUAACUUAAAAUAAACACACAAUUUAGAGCCUAAAUUAAUCAGUGCCAGCAACUAAGCAUAUUAACUAGAAACCUUAUUCAUUACUCAUCUUUACCAUAUUAACUCUCAAAAUCAUGUAUUUUUCUAAAAGACUCCACACUUGAAUCAAUAUGACGCAUUCUAACAAACAAAGUCUUCAAGAUUGAAACCCGACAUUAUCAAGCUUGACCAAAUUUUAAGGAGAUAAUGUUGCACUUAUUUAACUUGAUUUUACCUAUAUUUUUCAUCUUAGCCAUGUAUUGUUGAAUUAAAAAAAAUCAGAGCACUCAAACAAUUGCAUUCCCACUUCAUGAGGGCCAAACUCAAGUAAGGAAACAAAAGGACUGCUCAAAAGCUCAUGAAGCUUAAAUUCCAUGCUGACAUUACUUCACAACUUAAGGUUGAAGUACUAAUAAAUCAACAUGACAACAAAAAAUAACUAAACAUCAAUUACAGUUUUGAAAGAACACUCAGAAGAAAAUAAAACUGAAGACUAGACAUCAACUACACUUUUCAUAGCUAAACAGAUAGGAGAUAGCUCAUAUAGCAUCUACUUAGCCACAUAGGGCUCAAACAUAAGAGAAACGAGGCCAUAUAGAGGCUAGAAUCAACAAACUACUGGCCCCGAUUAAAAAUUAACUACAAAGAAACAUUGACCUAAGCUAUAAAACACCAUAAAUACAAAGUAAUAAGGCUAAACUCAUAACAGAAAGCACAAAAUAUGUUUUCAACUUUAGAAUUUCCAUUUUAUUCCUCAAAUUAAUCUUCACAUGAGAUAGAAUGCAGAAGUGUACCUGGAGAUUGCAAAGAGAAGAAAGAGAUGAGGAAGCAGUAAGCAACCGACAACCCAUUAAUCAACCCCAGGAGGAAUAGACCAAACCAAACACCAGCUUUUUUAGCUAAUAAAACAGUAAAAUUCCCUUAUAAAAAUCAACAGAAUAGUGAUCCCAUCAACAAAUUUAGACAAUCUUUUCUUAUACCAAGUUCAAUCUAUUGUCAACUCAAAGAAAAUAAGAAACUACUUAAGCAAUAGAGAACUUCUGAUUCAAAAUAAAGAAACCAAUGGAACAAUCCUUUUUAAGUUCAGCCCAUUUUGAUUUUCUAAAAUUUGAUCCCUCAAUCUUUUUUGGAAAUGAGACUUUACAGAGGGGGAAGUAGGGCAUCAAAAGAUGUUUCAGAAUUUUCUUUUCAAUCCCUGCCCAAUUUGUAUUUUUGCUUCAAGCACCUUAGCUCAAAACUCUAAAUUCAGGUUAGUCCCCCCCAGUCAGCUUCUAGCAAGCUUAUAUUUCUACUACCAAUAGAUUACCUAUCCUAGAAACCCUGAAUUACCCUUAAAGUUUAGGUUAUUUACCCUUGAGAUUACGGGUCAAAUUCAACCCAAAUCCCACACCUAACUUAUGGGUUGGACAACCAGAUUUGAGCCUUCCUCUUUAUGGGCUCCUGACCUCGGAGCCCAUAUCUUAAUUUGAAACAGUCAAACCCAAAAGCAAAUAGGCUAGCAGAGUUAUAAAAUCCUGCUACUACGAAUCCAGUGAAACUAAAAUUAAAAAAUUGAACAAAACCAAACCGUGACAACGAAUAGUCUAAUAAGAAAGGCAGUACUAUGACCCAAUCCUAUCAUGCGAGCAAGAAAAUGAUUUGAAAAUAAAAUUAAAAAAUAGAAAGAAAAGACAAGAAUAGAAAAUAGAUGAAGAGGUGAAUAAAACAAAAUGCAAAAACAAUGAAAAUACACAAAGUUAC
This 2851-nucleotide long non-coding RNA is filed under the name Nicotiana benthamiana. Its description in RNAcentral is "long non-coding RNA (NBEN_LNC026590)". The record is from RNAcentral. Lineage: Eukaryota; Viridiplantae; Streptophyta; Magnoliopsida; Solanales; Solanaceae.